Camelina sativa (false flax) is the source of this 846-nucleotide non-coding RNA. NCBI's taxonomy places the organism in Eukaryota, Viridiplantae, Streptophyta, Magnoliopsida, Brassicales, Brassicaceae. The record is from RefSeq and is a predicted model, not a curated record.
GCAAACAUAUAACUGAGACCAGUCCAUCAAUGGGAGAGUUCGAGCCGAGUUUGAAAGCAAGUUGAAGACCCGAAUGACUGAUCAAAUGUCUCGGUGGAAGUCUAAGUGGAGAGUAAAAGGUGAUGAUGCAAAGCCGCGGUGGCUUGAUCCUACAAUAUGUGAAGGCUUGGUCAAAUUUUGGUGUGAACCAAAAUCUGAGGAAAAGAGUAUCAACAGUCGAGAUUCUCAAUACAGUGAUCCUGAUGGCACUGGAAUGCAUAAACACCGGUCUGGUCAGACCUCCUUUAAAGCCCGUGCACGAAAACAUUCGGAGAUGACUGGUGAGACACUUCCUGAUUUCUUGAAAGUCCUAGAAGAUACUCAUAGUAAACCUGAUGGGUCGUUUAUGGAUGGAUUAUCUGAGAAGGUAUACCAUCGAGGAUAACUGAGGCUGAAACUGGGCUAUGCUCAGGGGACAAUAUAGAGAGUAGUGCUUCUGGCGGAUUUUCAGUUAGUAUAAAGAACCAAAUUUUUGCUGAGGUUGCUCCGAAGAAGAAAAACAGGAUAUAUGGAGUCAGUAAUAUGCAAACUGAAGCAUCUUCAGCUCAUGUUGUUCUCACGCCUACUCCGACUGAAGAUCCAGUCAUUCUAGCUGAGAAGCUUUCUCAGGCCGAAGCUGUUCUUGCGAGUCAGUCUACUCAGUUAGAAGAUUAUGCAUUGAAGUUGCAACAAAAUACUCAGAAGAUGCAUUGCUACGAUGCCUACUUCGAUUAUCUAUCUGAGAAGGACCCUGAAUUUGCUGCAAGAUUUCCCCGACCUGAGACUGAUGCCACCAUUGAUACCGGAGCAGGAGAUACCACGAGACCA